GCGAGUGAAGCGACAAAAGCUCAAAUUUGAAAUCUGGCGCCUUCGGUGUCCGAGUUGUAAUUUGAAGAAGGUAACUUUGGUUUUGGCUCUUGUCUAUGUUCCUUGGAACAGGACGUCACAGAGGGUGAGAAUCCCGUGCGAUGAGAUGCCCAAUUCCAUGUAAAGUGCUUUCGAAGAGUCGAGUUGUUUGGGAAUGCAGCUCUAAGUGGGUGGUAAAUUCCAUCUAAAGCUAAAUAUUGGCGAGAGACCGAUAGCGAACAAGUACAGUGAUGGAAAGAUGAAAAGAACUUUGAAAAGAGAGUGAAAAAGUACGUGAAAUUGUUGAAAGGGAAGGGCUUGAGAUCAGACUUGGUAUUUUGUAUGUCUUGCUUUCGGGUAGGGCCUCUGCAGUUUAUCGGGCCAGCAUCAGUUUGGAUGGUAGGAUAAUGACAUUGGAACGUAGCACUGCUUCGGUGGUGUGUUAUAGACUUUGUUGAUACUGCCUGUCUAGACUGAGGACUGCGUCUUUUGACUAGGAUGCUGGCAUAAUGAUCCUAAGCCACCC
Molecule: ribosomal RNA, 544 nt
Filed under: Scheffersomyces ergatensis
Lineage: Eukaryota; Fungi; Ascomycota; Pichiomycetes; Serinales; Debaryomycetaceae
Description: eukaryotic LSU rRNA
Rfam family: Eukaryotic large subunit ribosomal RNA
Source: RNAcentral